This is a long non-coding RNA of Astyanax mexicanus (Mexican tetra), 537 nucleotides long. RefSeq lists it as uncharacterized. The transcript has 5 exons. The record is from RefSeq and is a predicted model, not a curated record. Lineage: Eukaryota; Metazoa; Chordata; Actinopteri; Characiformes; Acestrorhamphidae.
GUAAUUGGGGAAGUACCCGGAUGAAGACGCCGACUCCGGUGGCGGUGAGCGCGCGGUCGGAUCUGCUGAAUGCCGGUGAAAUGGGUGCUCAUCAGGACAGUGGAGAAGCAGAGGGUGCUCUAUUUCUGGCAGUUUUGUGAUUUAUGGCUAAAGAGAAGGUGUUGUUCACAGGUGUGAUGGUUCUACCUUUAAAAGGUGCAGAGUUCAUUCCUGAAUUUCCUGUUUCUUCCCUGGAAAUGAAUCCGUUUUUGUCGGCGAUGAGAACCACAGAUCAUUCAGCUCAUUCAGCUGAAAGGUAUUGUUCACAGGUGUGAUGCUCCUACCUUAAGAAGAUGCAGAACUUAUGCCAGAAUUUGCUGCGUUUCUUCCUAAAGCCCGUUCAACUCCUUCAGCUGUGAGAUGCCGCUGCUGAUCUGUUCGGGUCGGGUGUUUAUAAUCACACUGGUCUUCCUUGCUUAAUUUUUGGUGUUUUUGCUAACUCUACAGACAUCAGCAAGAGUCGCCACGUGAGAGCCAUGCAGAAUAACGUUAUAUUUA